Hippocampus zosterae (dwarf seahorse) is the source of this 1049-nucleotide long non-coding RNA. RefSeq lists it as uncharacterized. The transcript has 2 exons. The record is from RefSeq and is a predicted model, not a curated record. NCBI's taxonomy places the organism in Eukaryota, Metazoa, Chordata, Actinopteri, Syngnathiformes, Syngnathidae.
CGUGCGGGCCUAGCUUGCGGCCGGUGCCGCGGGACGUCGACCGCAAGGGGGCUGAUCUGGCGUUCAAUCAGUGCAGCUCAGGAGGCAAAACGUGCACGGAUCAUGAUUUCCCCUGACGAGGUGUGCUGCAGUUUUGCUUUUCCAUGCGCUGAGCCAACAGCGGUGAAACGAAUCACUCGACGUACGUACUCUUUUGCUGAAUGUGACAUUACAUCAUGUCAUGAAAUAUUGACGUGAUCAUUUGACAGUGCGGCAAAGUUGACACACAACUCAGUAACUCGAUUAAUUUAACCAGAUUUAAAACUAGUAAACAUUUUAAAAUCUGUUUUUACAGACACAGCUUUUGGUUCGCUAACCUUAGCACAACUGCUGGAAAAAUAAAAUCGAUGCAAAGUUCAUUAUUGACUGCAAUAAUUUUUUUUGAGGUGGGGGGGCAUUGUAUAUGCGAUUUGUGCGUUAUGUCAAGAUGUUAAUAUCAAGGUACUGGUUUUACUUUUUCAGGCUUGUGUUAACGCCAAUCAAAGCUGAUACUGGUUUGCUAUACUGAACGGUGUUGAUUUUCUCACUCAAAAGUAAAUCAACACCGAUGCGUGUUGAUUUACCUUUGCGGACCUCAACUGCGGCUUUACCGUCACAUAAAAGAAUGAAUCGAAUGUUUGCAGUUGGUUUCUCAUUGUGAUUGUCGCAUUAUGUCUCUGUACAUGAAAUCAUCCUGAAAGCUGUGUUGUCAAAUAAUUCCGAUUGGGGCAUACAACGAAUGGACAGUGUCACCCCUCAUUCGGACAAAUGACCUCAUUUGUGUGUGUGUGUGUGUGUGUUUUAAACGUGACAUUGCCAGUGAGAGUCCUGUGGUCUCUUUUCUUUUGGAAGACGUUGAAGCACUGAUCGAGUGGGGAAACGUGUUAUUUGUAUGCAGAUGACUUAUUUCAACCCUGAGUGUAAGUGCACUGCCUUUCUUUUAUUUCUGUAAAUCUUGGAUUAGAUUUUGAAAUAUUUUGUCUAUGUCUAAAAUUUUUGACUUGAUUGUGAAAUAAACAGAUUGUUUUGUC